RNAcentral lists this non-coding RNA (23 nucleotides) under Arabidopsis thaliana (thale cress). The record is from RNAcentral. Lineage: Eukaryota; Viridiplantae; Streptophyta; Magnoliopsida; Brassicales; Brassicaceae.
UAUAGGAUCAAUAUCGCGGCUGC